Molecule: long non-coding RNA, 249 nt
Filed under: Cicer arietinum (chickpea)
Lineage: Eukaryota; Viridiplantae; Streptophyta; Magnoliopsida; Fabales; Fabaceae
Description: long non-coding RNA (CARI_LNC003077)
Source: RNAcentral
CUGUAUAGUCAUUCGACAAUGUAAACAUGUCGAAUUUACGGUCAAGGUCUUAGUAGGUGUGGAAACAACCAAAUCAAAAGGUAAAGGAGACACAGAUAACUUCAAGCGAUUCACACAAUCCAUAGCAAUGAAGGAAUGGGUUGCCCCCGAAUCAAAGAGUGCAGUUAGAGUGUUACCUGCAAUCUCACAGUCACGCUGAAUCAGAUUACCAGAUGGAUUCCCCUCUUCAGCACUCACACAAUAAAUGCG